Molecule: transfer RNA, 74 nt
Filed under: Occallatibacter sp.
Lineage: Bacteria; Pseudomonadati; Acidobacteriota; Terriglobia; Terriglobales; Acidobacteriaceae
Also listed under: 1 other name
Description: tRNA-Val
Rfam family: tRNA
About the family: Transfer RNA (tRNA) molecules are approximately 80 nucleotides in length. Their secondary structure includes four short double-helical elements and three loops (D, anti-codon, and T loops).
Source: RNAcentral
GCCGGGUUAGUUCAACGGAAGAACGCUUGUCUUACAAGCAAGCUAUGCGGGUUCGACUCCUGCACCCGGCACCA